Long non-coding RNA from Triticum aestivum (bread wheat), 3260 nucleotides. RefSeq lists it as uncharacterized. Lineage: Eukaryota; Viridiplantae; Streptophyta; Magnoliopsida; Poales; Poaceae. The record is from RefSeq and is a predicted model, not a curated record. The transcript is spliced from 12 exons.
GACUCGCCUAGAUGGCUUGCGAUAUACUCAAACCUUAAGCAAUAGCAAAUAUCUCAGAUAUGAGGUUUUCUCUACAUCCAAUUCUCGUGAUUCUCCUCACUUAAAUCCGCAUAGGCAUAGAUCGGUCCUGAUAGCGCCCUCCUGUGCGCUUCCUCUCCAAGUACCCUCUGCUGCCGCGUGCUUGUCCUCCGUGUGUUGCCGCACCGUGGAGAUGGGUACACGAACUAGGCAGGCCACGGGACGACAGCUGCUCUAGCACCCACCUCGUGAGGAGGGGUUGAGUACAGCUCCCAGUUCACGGAGGAGAUGCCAGCACAGAAGUCACUGGAUGCAUGCCCAAGAAGCCCAACACGGCCAGGUUGACAUUGUUGGAGUAAGUUGCUAUUCUUCAAAGGACCUGUGGUCUUGGAGAAACGAAGGAGUUGUGCUCCAUGGCGAGGAAAAUAAUUUGUCACAUGACCUCCACAAAUCCAAUGUCCUGGUGCGACCCAAGGUGGUCUAUAACAACCGGACCAGCAAAUAUGUGAUGUGGAUGCACAUAGACGAUGCGAACUACACCAAAUCCUCAAUCAGCGUGGCGACGAGUGAUUCUCCCAUGGGACCAUUCACUUAUCUCUACAGCAAGCGCCCACAUAACUACGAAAGCAGAGACAUGACCAUUUUCAAGGAUGAUGACGGGAAGGCCUACCUGAUAUAUUCAUCCAAGGGCAACAACGAGCUCCACAUUGCGCAGCUAACCGAUGACUACCUCGACGUGACCGACGGCAUGCGAAGAAUUCUCGUCGCACGGUAUCGAGAAGCCCUCACGCUCUUCAAGUUCCGUGACACCGACUACAUGAUAACCUUGGGUUACACCGGCUGGGCACCGAACACUGCAAGGUGAAGAAAAAUUCAGAUGGGAAACUACACAUAUAUACUGUAUGCUAUACAAAUAUUGCAACAUACAUGGGUGCCAAUGCGGAUGUCGAUGUUGCCUAUUGUAUGUUUGUUGAUUCUGUUUGAGGCACAUAUGUUUGUUGAUUCUGUUUCUGGGUUGGCCCUUGAGGGGGAGAGGAAAGCAAACUUCAGCAUGCUUCAGAUUUCUGCUCUUUGGUUGGCAAUGGUCCGAAUGGAGGUCAAACUAGCAUUCCCCCAGGACAGACCGCCACUUUCCGUCAUUUCGGCUGCAAAGAUUGCAGGUGUUUCCAUAAUCAUUGAUCCGACCCUUGCCUCAGGUUCAGUGCCCACACUACACUUCAGUUCUGGGGAUUUUAUACAUGGUGUCAACACAAUUCUCCGAUACAUUGCACGUGCUGCAUCUGUUUCCAGCUUCUAUGGCCAGGACGAUAUUCAGGCAGCACAAGUUGACCAAUGGCUCAAGUACACACCACUCAUUCUCUCAGGCUCUGAAUUUGAAGCUGCUUGCUCAUUUCUUGAUGGAUACUUGGCAAAUCGAGCCUUUUUGGUUGGUUAUGGUCUAUCAAUUGCUGACAUUGUCGUGUGGUCAAAUCUCACAGGUCACCAUGGUUCCAUUGUCAUAUCAUUCCUCAUAUGCUGCUGUUUAGCAUCACAAAAGAAGAAGGCCAGAGUUAUUUCUUCCUUUUGGAUAUUUUCCAUCAUAACUAGCAGCCAAUCUGAGCCGAAUAUCUGAAGCAAUUUCUGUAAGUUAAGUUCCGGUGCUCCUAUAUUUGAACUAGAAUCUUAGCGCUUAUUUUGUCCACGUCAAGGUUUCUUUGUGUGCAAUUGAAAAUUAUGUGAGAACUGGGUUUUUACUCCAAUACCCCAAUUUUAGCAGAUAUUGAAAACCUCGAGAGUUUGGUGCCAUUUGUCACGCUUGUAUACUUAAUGCUAUUCUUUGUGUCUUCAAUAAUGUCUCACCAUUUGUACAACUCAAAAGAGGAUUUCCCAUGAACAUUUUAGCACUGCUCUUACCUAUCGAUCAAAAAAUGUUAUUCUCUACAGGUUAAAUUUGUUUGAAGAUGAUACUAUGCAAGAUGCGUAAGCUGGGGAUGGCAUGGCAGUGCAUGCUGAUGCUGUCGGUCAAGAAGUACCAUACCGCCAUGUGUGGCCUCACCUUUGUUUAUCAAUUCGUGCGCAGGUAUGGAUCGGUGAUGUUGUCGAUGCCCAUAGAGCCAUUGCCUCAUGCAUGAUGUGUGUUUUGUGUGUGCCAGUUUGCCGGUUAGUGAGUGAUAAUAUUCGGAUGGAUGUUUCAUCGGUGUAGCAAGUGAUCAGCAAUAGACAGCUCUUACUUUUGGAUUGAAGUGCAGAUCUUGCUAAAGAGUUAACUAUGGACUCAUUUAUGUAUUCUUAUGCCCCAAUGCUUCAUUAAGUAUUCUUAUUUCUGCAACAUAAAAUUAUUUCUUACCAUCUUCUAUUGUUUCCUCUGUUUUUAUCAGUUAUUCAGUGAACACCACAUAAAAUUAUUUCUUACCAUCCUCUAUUGUUUCCUCUGUUUUUAUCAGUUAUUCAGUGAACACCACAUGUCACAUGAAUUUUUGACUACUUGUCUACAGAAUCAGGUCUUGAGUUUGCUUGCUUAAUCGUCCCUGUGUAAUUGCUCACCAAGCUCGCCAAUUGUGAGUUUGUCCCACACAAUGGAGUUUCUAUGAAUUUUUGUAGUCCAAAAUUCUUGGAAAUUCUCUUGUUGCUGUUAUAAUGUGGGUGUGUUCGGCUUCCUUCUUCAUUAAAGUUUGACAGGAGUCGUAAAACCAACGGAUAAGAGACUGUUUGAUGGUGAAAGAAUGUAUGCUCGUGGUGACUACCUCAAGUGUGCCAGAGUAUGUUUGUUUGGGCUGCAAUUUCCAUGGCUGCAGCUGAAGGAGCGGCUGUAGCCGGUGAUGAAGAGAGGCACUUUGCAUUUGCCCACCAGAAGUACAGAUCGGUAAAGUACAGAGAAGCUUCAGAGCAUGGCAACAUUGUUUAUGAGAAGAUCACGACAAACUACUUCUUGGAGUUACUACUAUCAGUUUAUGACUUGGUGCUAGCUGAAGCUUCUAUUUUCUACCCAAACUGCUAUUAACACAAAAAGUUAAUGGUAUUUCAUAACUAAUGGAUUGAGCAGCAACUCUAGCGAUCCAGAAUUUUAUCCUAAGCUGCUAUUAAACUCACAAGAGGGAGCAUUUUAAUAACAAAAGAACUCUAGCCAUGCUUUUUGAUAUACUACGUAUACGUAUGAUGUACUAGCAGUUCCUAUUUUGUAACUAUUGCGUACUAGAAAAUUGAAUUGGCAAUGUAUUCAUAAAUAUGAUGUAUUAAAUUAUGUCCUGAGAGGGAUUUGUUCA